UACGUAGGGGGCAAGCGUUGUCCGGAAUCAUUGGGCGUAAAGCACGUGUAGGCGGCCAGAAAAGUCCGCUGUGAAAACUCGAGGCUCAACCUCGAGCUGUCGGUGGAAACUUUCUGGCUAGAGUCCGGAAGAGGAGAAUGGAAUUCCUGGUGUAGCGGUGAAAUGCGCAGAUAUCAGGAAGAACACCCGUGGCGAAGGCGGUUCUCUGGGACGGUACUGACGCUGGAGACGCGAAAAGCCGUGGGGGAGCGAA
Molecule: ribosomal RNA, 253 nt
Filed under: uncultured bacterium
Lineage: Bacteria
Description: partial 16S ribosomal RNA
Rfam family: Bacterial small subunit ribosomal RNA
Source: RNAcentral